Arachis ipaensis is the source of this 720-nucleotide non-coding RNA. Lineage: Eukaryota; Viridiplantae; Streptophyta; Magnoliopsida; Fabales; Fabaceae. The record is from RefSeq and is a predicted model, not a curated record.
AAUAGUACAUGUCUACCAUUUUUUGUUGAGACAAUAUUUUAGAUAUCUUGAUACAUAAAUACACAUAAAAUUUCAAUUUUUAUUACAAUUUUAUCCUUAAAUGUUUUUAAAAUUUAUCCUAUCUCUGUCUUUCUCAUACUCUUCUCCAUCUCAUUUCUUUCUAUUGCUUUUGCUUGUCCUACUCUCAGCCACCUUCACCUCCUCUUUUCUCUCACUUACAUUUGCCUAUUCUGUGCCGCCCCUACUUCUGCAUAGGCUCUCCACCUUUGCUUCUGCCACUGCUAACUUCCUCUCAUGCUCCCUCAAAAUCUGCUGCUGCCUCUACUUUGUGAUGCUUCUUCCCGAGAUCCGCUGCCACCUUUGCUUCGUAUGCAUUUGCCUUAGAUUCAGUGCUGCCUUUGCUUUGCAACUUCUUUUCCCCAAAUCCGUCAUCUCUUGUGCUUCGUGAUGUGUUUGCCCCAAAUCUUCUUCUGCUUUGCGAUGCGUCCACCUCAAAUUUGCCACCUCCUUUGCUUUGUGACACUGUCUACCUCAAAUCAACUGGCUCUUCUGCUAUGCAAAGUUAUCCGCCUCUACUUCUUUGUGAAGAGUUGAUGAUGAUAAUGAUGAUGAUGACAACGAUGAUGAUGUAAUGGCGGCAGUGGUAAUGGUGGUGGUGGAGGAAGGGAGUGAUGAUUUUAACUUAGAGGUAAAAUUGGCAUUUAAGAGAAGUCUAAUGUU